AGUUCAUGAAUGCAAACAAAAUCGGACUGGCUAUGUAAGCGGAUGAGGUAGCUGAAAUGGUGAAGGAUUUGGUUGUGGUGAAGAAAAUAAAUGUGUCGGAAAUUGCUGCAGACGAUGACUCCAUCAGGGUUCGGAAAAAAAAUCAAAUGCCACAUUUGGAAAUCGAAAACACUAGUGACAGAAAUCAUAUUUUUUAUUGUUAAUAGUAAAUUGUAAAAAAAUCCAAAAAGCACAGUCUACACAAACGAUCGUUGACUCAAUCCUGAAGAAAUUUUCAUACAUGAUUGAUCAGAAUCAAAGUUC
This 303-nucleotide long non-coding RNA is filed under the name Mytilus galloprovincialis (Mediterranean mussel). The record is from RNAcentral. Lineage: Eukaryota; Metazoa; Mollusca; Bivalvia; Mytilida; Mytilidae.